RNAcentral lists this ribosomal RNA (1436 nucleotides) under Lactiplantibacillus plantarum. RNAcentral describes it as "bacterial SSU rRNA". It matches the Rfam family "Bacterial small subunit ribosomal RNA". The record is from RNAcentral. Lineage: Bacteria; Bacillati; Bacillota; Bacilli; Lactobacillales; Lactobacillaceae.
CUGCAGUCGACGAACUCUGGUAUUGAUUGGUGCUUGCAUCAUGAUUUACAUUUGAGUGAGUGGCGAACUGGUGAGUAACACGUGGGAAACCUGCCCAGAAGCGGGGGAUAACACCUGGAAACAGAUGCUAAUACCGCAUAACAACUUGGACCGCAUGGUCCGAGUUUGAAAGAUGGCUUCGGCUAUCACUUUUGGAUGGUCCCGCGGCGUAUUAGCUAGAUGGUGGGGUAACGGCUCACCAUGGCAAUGAUACGUAGCCGACCUGAGAGGGUAAUCGGCCACAUUGGGACUGAGACACGGCCCAAACUCCUACGGGAGGCAGCAGUAGGGAAUCUUCCACAAUGGACGAAAGUCUGAUGGAGCAACGCCGCGUGAGUGAAGAAGGGUUUCGGCUCGUAAAACUCUGUUGUUAAAGAAGAACAUAUCUGAGAGUAACUGUUCAGGUAUUGACGGUAUUUAACCAGAAAGCCACGGCUAACUACGUGCCAGCAGCCGCGGUAAUACGUAGGUGGCAAGCGUUGUCCGGAUUUAUUGGGCGUAAAGCGAGCGCAGGCGGUUUUUUAAGUCUGAUGUGAAAGCCUUCGGCUCAACCGAAGAAGUGCAUCGGAAACUGGGAAACUUGAGUGCAGAAGAGGACAGUGGAACUCCAUGUGUAGCGGUGAAAUGCGUAGAUAUAUGGAAGAACACCAGUGGCGAAGGCGGCUGUCUGGUCUGUAACUGACGCUGAGGCUCGAAAGUAUGGGUAGCAAACAGGAUUAGAUACCCUGGUAGUCCAUACCGUAAACGAUGAAUGCUAAGUGUUGGAGGGUUUCCGCCCUUCAGUGCUGCAGCUAACGCAUUAAGCAUUCCGCCUGGGGAGUACGGCCGCAAGGCUGAAACUCAAAGGAAUUGACGGGGGCCCGCACAAGCGGUGGAGCAUGUGGUUUAAUUCGAAGCUACGCGAAGAACCUUACCAGGUCUUGACAUACUAUGCAAAUCUAAGAGAUUAGACGUUCCCUUCGGGGACAUGGAUACAGGUGGUGCAUGGUUGUCGUCAGCUCGUGUCGUGAGAUGUUGGGUUAAGUCCCGCAACGAGCGCAACCCUUAUUAUCAGUUGCCAGCAUUAAGUUGGGCACUCUGGUGAGACUGCCGGUGACAAACCGGAGGAAGGUGGGGAUGACGUCAAAUCAUCAUGCCCCUUAUGACCUGGGCUACACACGUGCUACAAUGGAUGGUACAACGAGUUGCGAACUCGCGAGAGUAAGCUAAUCUCUUAAAGCCAUUCUCAGUUCGGAUUGUAGGCUGCAACUCGCCUACAUGAAGUCGGAAUCGCUAGUAAUCGCGGAUCAGCAUGCCGCGGUGAAUACGUUCCCGGGCCUUGUACACACCGCCCGUCACACCAUGAGAGUUUGUAACACCCAAAGUCGGUGGGGUAACCUUUUAGGAACCAGCCGCCU